GACGAACGCUGGCGGCGUGCUUAACACAUGCAAGUCGAGCGGUAAGGCCCUUUCGGGGGUACACGAGCGGCGAACGGGUGAGUAACACGUGGGUGACCUGCCCUCAGCUCUGGGAUAAGCCUGGGAAACUGGGUCUAAUACUGGAUAUGACUCCACGGUGCAUGUCGUGGGGUGGAAAGCCUUGUGCGGCUGAGGAUGGGCCCGCGGCCUAUCAGCUUGGUUGGUGGGGUGANGGCCUACCAAGGCGACGACGGGUAGCCGGCCUGAGAGGGCGACCGGCCACACUGGGACUGAGACACGGCCCAGACUCCUACGGGAGGCAGCAGUGGGGAAUCUUGCGCAAUGGGCGAAAGCCUGACGCAGCGACGCCGCGUGAGGGAUGACGGCCUGGU
This 392-nucleotide ribosomal RNA is filed under the name uncultured bacterium. RNAcentral's name for it is "bacterial SSU rRNA". It matches the Rfam family "Bacterial small subunit ribosomal RNA", at positions 28 to 420 of the family's 1533-position model. The record is from RNAcentral.